This is an RNA transcript of Triticum aestivum (bread wheat), 2387 nucleotides long. RefSeq lists it as uncharacterized. The record is from RefSeq and is a predicted model, not a curated record. NCBI's taxonomy places the organism in Eukaryota, Viridiplantae, Streptophyta, Magnoliopsida, Poales, Poaceae. The transcript is spliced from 4 exons.
GCCCCCCUCUCCUCCCUCUCUACCGUAGAUUUCUUUUGGUCUGGUUCGGGGUUGGCGUCGGGCCCUGGGAUCACACGAAUGGCGCUCGGGCCGUGAUCCGGCUGCUGGGUGGAGAUGGUGGAUGCCGCGUGCCUAGUGCCUAGUGACACGACCUGGUUCGUCUCUGUUUUUUUUCUGGGAGAAUGGGUUGUGAUCCGCUUGUUCGUCGACAGGCCCCGGUCGCCGGGAUGCCGCUUUUUGUUAGUAUUUCUUGCUGGGGCUGCAGCCGAGGGAGAUGCAUAGUGGAUGGCGGCAGAGCGGGUCGGCAGAAGCAUGGUCGGAGGCGGGGUGGUGGUGUGAUGGCUGGGCGGCGCGUGCAUGUGUUGCCGUGUUGGGGCUGUGGUGGCUUGUGUGUGGUCUCUGCUAGGCAAUGAGAGAUUUAAAGUGAGAUGAUUAAGAGGUCCGGCGCCUUGAGCUCGCACCCGGCCGUCCCGCGCCGCUAGAUCCCUCCGGGUAGCGGCUUCCAGUUGCCUGGCACCGCCCGCUCCUUGACCUCGCGCCCGUUCAGGGGCGCCUCGUGUCAUCAGGUGUUGAGAGCUGCAAGUACCUUAAAUUUGUCACCACAACCCUUCUCUGUUUCAUCCUCAUACUACAUCGUCAUACGCCGCCGUUGACUUCCUGCGGAACCCCCAGUUGGCAGGAAAUGACUGAACUCGUGAUGCUCUUUCUUCCAGCGAUUUCGUUUGCUGGUCUGCUCUUCGCUCUUACUAUUUCCAGUAUUUUUUUGUAUAGCAGUUAGAUAUUGGAGGUAGCUGUGUGCUAUCUAUGGACCAUAUGGUACUGCUCGGAACAACCUGAUUGCGUUGCUCCAAGUGCAAUUGAAAUUCGAACACACCACAUUGCUCGGCUGCAUUUUAUAAGAAAGAAGUUAGGAGAACCAUUGACUGAUUUCAUUGGAGGAAUGAGGUACAGUGGUUAUAUGCAUGGUGAUUAAAUCAAGUUUUUUUUACCUAUGCUUCCAACCUGUAGGUGAAUUUGUGUUUAUGCUCUGUGGCGUUGAUCUGUAAAUCUUCCGAUGCUAUUUUGUGCCAUAUGGGCAAACACUAAGUUCUGAGGAAGAGAUGUCAUAUGUGUACCAUAUGGACAAACACUCUACAUUCUAAAGGACGGGCAGAACGUGCAUCCCCUGGUGAGGAGCUUGAUAGGAAGAGAUCUCAAGCGCGAUCUCAAGCGCACGCACUAUACGAGGCUUCAGGAGGAAGAAUUCUAUGCUGUUCUAUUAUCUCCCCUUCUAGAACAGUUUUAACACGGUCCCUCUGUAGUUCUUUCUGUAUAUGUACCUUGCAUAGGGUAUAGUUCAUGGUGAUAAUUCCAUUAUAUUUUUAUCAAUACACCACAUCAAUCUUAUAACUAGCUAGAAGAAACGGCAUACCUCAUGCUCCCAUUUGAGUCUUGUGUGCAAGCUCAUAUUAUGAAAUGAUAUAAGCAUGCUUGAUUCAAGGAAGUUGCUGGUCUGAUGUCACGUUAUACAACUUGUCCUGCUACAUUCCUGAAGUACUAAAAAAAUGGAAAAUAAUGCAUUUCCUUCUAAUUCAUAUUUUUAUUUUUGAUUGUACUACGAAUGUAUAUGAGAUUAUCAUAUAUUUCGUAGAACGAUCGCCCUGGUCGCUGUUUUAUUCCUCUGUUAAUCUAUUUCAAAUAUCUUUAAUCAGAGUCAAAGCAUGACAUAAUAGUUGGGUCUUUACCUGUGUUUUUUCUGCAUCUCCAUCCAGAUUUGUGUCCCAGAUCAUGGAGGAAUUACCCUCUCUGCUGGUGCGUUUACAGUGCAUUAUUUGUAGUUCUAUUGGGAAGACAGUUAGAGACCCCGAGAGGCUGCUGCGAGCUGCUAUUCCCCUCCUCGAGCUGGCGGACUGAUGAUGGAGGACCCGCCCUCUUUGCUGCAUCAGCGCCGCCGCUGCCACUUCUGCUUCUGUUGCCCGUUGGCCCAGGGCGGCGCAUGUCCUCUGCUUCUAAGGCUUCUUCUGCUGAUGGUCUUCAAGGUGCUGCUGCUGCUCCCAAGCUGUGGCUGGCUUCGCUGCUGCAGCACCAUGCCGUCUUCAACGACUCACCAACGACGGCAGCUCCUCCGCUUCAGGGCUACUGCGGCAUGCGUGUCUCCCUCCUCCAGGGAGGUUGUGCGGCACCGAGCGGGUGUACGGCGAGGUCUUCGUAAUGGCAUCAAGUCACCCUUGCCAUAUGGAUCAUAUAUUUGCUUCAAAUCACGGAAGCUUGGGUUGAUGGAGUGCUUGUCUUUAGUUUUUGUUUUGAGUUUGUGAAACUUGCUACCUAUGAUGAAACUGUGCAAUAUUGAUGAAACUAUGUAUAUGUAUGGAUGAAACUUGCUACUAUUGGUAACAUGUGUUGGAUAU